UCUCCGUAGGUGAACCUGCGGAGGGAUCAUUACCAGAGAUGGCGGGCCUCCGCGCCCCCGUCCCCAACCCUUUGUUGACCAAACCACUUUUGCCUCGGGGGCAGAGCGGCCUCCGCCGCCCCCGGUGGACCACUUAACACUGUCUCUGUACGUCAAGAGUCUUUGGUGAAUAAAUGAAAACUUUUAACAACGGAUCUCUUGGUUCUGGCAUCGAUGAAGAACGCAGC
RNAcentral lists this unclassified non-coding RNA (227 nucleotides) under uncultured fungus. RNAcentral's name for it is "sequence contains ITS1, 5.8S rRNA gene". The stretch from base 179 to 227 matches the Rfam family "5.8S ribosomal RNA", at positions 1 to 49 of the family's 154-position model. Lineage: Eukaryota; Fungi. The record is from RNAcentral.